GAUGAACGCUGGCGGCGUGCCUAAUACAUGCAAGUCGAGCGAACGGACGAGAAGCUUGCUUCUCUGAUGUUAGCGGCGGACGGGUGAGUAACACGUGGAUAACCUACCUAUAAGACUGGGAUAACUUCGGGAAACCGUAGCUAAUACCGGAUAAUAUUUUGAACCGCAUGGUUCAAAAGUGAAAGACGGUCUUGCUGUCACUUAUAGAUGGAUCCGCGCUGCAUUAGCUAGUUGGUAAGGUAACGGCUUACCAAGGCAACGAUGCAUAGCCGACCUGAGAGGGUGAUCGGCCACACUGGAACUGAGACACGGUCCAGACUCCUACGGGAGGCAGCAGUAGGGAAUCUUCCGCAAUGGGCGAAAGCCUGACGGGGCAACGCCGCGUGAGUGAUGAAGGUCUUCGGAUCGUAAAACUCUGUUAUUAGGGAAGAACAUAUGUGUAAGUAGCUGUGCACAUCUUGACGGUACCUAAUGAGAAAGCCACGGCUAACUACGUG
RNAcentral lists this ribosomal RNA (497 nucleotides) under uncultured bacterium. Its description in RNAcentral is "partial 16S ribosomal RNA". It matches the Rfam family "Bacterial small subunit ribosomal RNA", at positions 28 to 507 of the family's 1533-position model. The record is from RNAcentral.